GGGGACGUUCCGGAUUCGACAGGGGCUGUUUGAGCAACUUAAGCGUGCCGGAGGUAUCGGCUCCGUCAUAAACGAUACUCAGUUAAUAAUAACUGGCAAACAAGAUAACUUCGCAGUAGCUGCCUAAGAGCACUCUGCAUCAUCCCAUGACGUUUCCUGUGCGUCGUGAUCGGAUGAUUCAACCUUAACAGGAUACGCAUCUGGUUCUUCCGUCUGGAGAACCGGGUGAAGAGAUCAAUCAGACUAGCAUGGAUCUGUGGUCUGUUCAUUACCAUCAGCCAUGCGAAAUUGAAAAAUGGACUACGCACGUAGAAAGAGUUGUGCCAAAGUCUCUGGACGCGGGUUCGACUCCCGCCGUCUCCAUAU
Molecule: transfer-messenger RNA, 366 nt
Filed under: Salinicoccus roseus
Lineage: Bacteria; Bacillati; Bacillota; Bacilli; Caryophanales; Staphylococcaceae
Description: Standard tmRNA
Rfam family: transfer-messenger RNA
About the family: Bacterial tmRNA, also known as 10Sa RNA or SsrA, is named for its dual tRNA and mRNA-like properties. Its role is to liberate the mRNA from a stalled ribosome.
Source: Rfam by way of RNAcentral